UUAUAGGGAGCUUCUAUGGUGCAUUCCAGCUUUGGAAUGUAUGGGUGCAUUCCAAACUUUUAACCAAUAGAAUUCAAUUUAAUUGCCACAUCAACUAAGGUCCAUGGUGAGUCUCUUUUUCCUUAAUAAACUUUUGUUUAUUGCAUAUGAGUCCUCCAUCAAAUGAAAAAUACAAAUCAAAAACAUUUUUAAUUUCAAUUUAAAAUCAUAAAUCAUUUACACUUUUUAUUUAUCAUUUUUAACAUUAUUAUUUGAACAUAUUAAAAUUGAAAGUGAAAAACCCUAAAUCCCAAAUUCCCAACUGUUCUUCAUCCAAUUUGUUCAUCCUUCUUCGUCCUCCUCCAUGUCCUUCUCCUUCUUCGUCUUCGUCCUUCUCCUUCUUCGUCGUCGUCCAUUUUGUUCAUCCCAAAUUCCUCCACUACUCUUCGUCUUCGUCUUAAUCUUCCUCAUCCAUAGUCUUAUUAUGUCAGACUUCAGUUUUAUUCGUUUCACUAAUUGAUAUCAACUAAAGCAUAAUCGACUUCUUCCCUCUCACCCAAUGUCGUAUCCGUGUUCCUGGUCAAUUUGUAAUUCGCACCGGUUGUUCACCCAAAAACUCUUCACAGUUAUUUGUUCUAUGGUUCAAAGCAUCGUCGUGUACUUCACAGUUAAGUAAUGGAUGGCAAUAUAUAUCCACUCUCAUCCAAAUUCAGGAAUCCUGCGUUUAUGAGGUUAUCAGGACAGAAAUGGAAUAAAGGAGCUAACAGUUGACUUGUUUGAACUGGAAAACAGACAAUGCAGAAGGGCUUAAAGGGUUACAAAAAUAUGCACGCAACAUGGUGAUUAGACUUGAAGUCAAAAAUGUUAAGAAGGAGAAGGUGAAUGAUAUCAGUUUUACUUAGACAUAGAAGAACUAAGAGGCAUGGCGCGUUUUGUGCUUGGACUUGGUGGAUCAGUGUUUAUCAUUGUGUUUUGUUUGCUGGAUGAUGAAGUUUGCUUAGAGUUGGACGGUUUUUGUGUUCAGAAAAGCAAAAGAGUAUUAUGCAUGAGUAAAGUUAAGAGUUGGACAAUUUGGGAGGUUGAUACGUAUUGGAAGUUGUAGCUACCUAGGUUUUAUUUUUCAAUAGCCUUUUUUAGUUGUAAUAAUUAGCAAGUGCAAUGUGUGUAAGACUGUAAGUAGAAGGCCAAGCAUCACGUUUUUGUGUGCUCAAUGUAAGCUAACCAACAUGAAUUAAUGUGUUGUCCAUAAUAAUAAAUU
This is a long non-coding RNA of Trifolium pratense (red clover), 1237 nucleotides long. RefSeq lists it as uncharacterized. The transcript is spliced from 4 exons. Lineage: Eukaryota; Viridiplantae; Streptophyta; Magnoliopsida; Fabales; Fabaceae. The record is from RefSeq and is a predicted model, not a curated record.